UGCGUAGGCGGAUUAAUAAGUCAGUGGUGAAAUCUUUCGGCUCAACCGAGAAACUGCCAUUGAUACUGUUAAUCUUGAGUUCGGUUGAGGUAGGCGGAAUGUGUAAUGUAGCGGUGAAAUGCUUAGAUAUUACACAGAACACCAAUUGCGUAGGCAGCUUACUAGACCGACACUGACGCUGAGGCACGAAAGAGUGGGGAGCGAACAGGAUUAGAUACCCUGGUAGUCC
RNAcentral lists this ribosomal RNA (229 nucleotides) under uncultured bacterium. RNAcentral describes it as "partial 16S ribosomal RNA". It matches the Rfam family "Bacterial small subunit ribosomal RNA", at positions 568 to 796 of the family's 1533-position model. The record is from RNAcentral.